Molecule: ribosomal RNA, 253 nt
Filed under: uncultured bacterium
Lineage: Bacteria
Description: partial 16S ribosomal RNA
Rfam family: Bacterial small subunit ribosomal RNA
Source: RNAcentral
UACGGAGGGAGCUAGCGUUGUUCGGAAUUACUGGGCGUAAAGCGCACGUAGGCGGCUUUGUAAGUUAGAGGUGAAAGCCCAGGGCUCAACCCCGGAAUUGCCUUUAAGACUGCAUCGCUUGAAUCCAGGAGAGGUGAGUGGAAUUCCGAGUGUAGAGGUGAAAUUCGUAGAUAUUCGGAAGAACACCAGUGGCGAAGGCGGCUCACUGGACUGGUAUUGACGCUGAGGUGCGAAAGCGUGGGGAGCAAACAGG